GUUCAAAGUAGUCAUGCAGCCAAGAGAUCACUGAGCUUCACAGUUCUUAGCCAUCUCUAGGUCUCAGUGCUUUACUUCUUCACUGCCUAGGGUACUCCUUAAUCCUUCAUCACAUGACAGAAGAAUAGUGAACAUUUAUGGAGCCCUUGUUGUUCCUGGAGGUCAGAAGUCUGAAAUCGGUCUUGCAAGGUUAAAAUCAAGAUGUUGGCAGAACUGGAUCUUUUUGGAGGUUCCAGACCAGAACACGUUAGGAAACAUAUUCCACUAUUCAAAGGAUAAAGCUCUUCUUUCAAAUUGUGUACUGAAGAUAUUUAGUUAGAAAAAGACUCAGUAGUAUGCCUGGAUCUAGCAGAGGACACUGAGGAGUCCCUGGAAGAUUGCGGCAACACAAGACGGAGAAGCCAGGAUCCCAAAGCACCAAGUGAAAGACUGGUCGGCAAAAAUCCAUUUGAACUGUGAUGAGAGAGCUGCAGACUGAUGAAA
This 483-nucleotide long non-coding RNA is filed under the name Homo sapiens (human). Its description in RNAcentral is "HSALNT0112581". The record is from RNAcentral. Lineage: Eukaryota; Metazoa; Chordata; Mammalia; Primates; Hominidae.